This 497-nucleotide ribosomal RNA is filed under the name uncultured bacterium. Its description in RNAcentral is "partial 16S ribosomal RNA". It matches the Rfam family "Bacterial small subunit ribosomal RNA", at positions 28 to 507 of the family's 1533-position model. The record is from RNAcentral.
GAUGAACGCUGGCGGCGUGCCUAAUACAUGCAAGUCGAGCGAACAGAUGAGGAGCUUGCUCCUCUGACGUUAGCGGCGGACGGGUGAGUAACACGUGGAUAACCUACCUAUAAGACUGGGAUAACUUCGGGAAACCGGAGCUAAUACCGGAUAAUAUAUUGAACCGCAUGGUUCAAUAGUGAAAGACGGUUUUGCUGUCACUUAUAGAUGGAUCCGCGCCGCAUUAGCUAGUUGGUAAGGUAACGGCUUACCAAGGCAACGAUGCGUAGACGACCUGAGAGGCGGAUAGGCCACACUGGAACUGAGACACGGUCCAGACUCCUACGGGAGGCAGCAGUAGGGAAUCUUCCGCAAUGGGCGAAAGCCUGACGGAGCAACGCCGCGUGAGUGAUGAAGGUCUUCGGAUCGUAAAACUCUGUUAUGAGGGAAGAACAAAUGUGUAAGUAACUAUGCACGUCUUGACGGUACCUAAUCAGAAAGCCACGGCUAACUACGUG